This 678-nucleotide long non-coding RNA is filed under the name Strigops habroptila (Kakapo). RNAcentral's name for it is "lncRNA (ENSSHBG00005006255.1)". The record is from RNAcentral. Lineage: Eukaryota; Metazoa; Chordata; Aves; Psittaciformes; Psittacidae.
GUUCCGGUGUCGCGUUGGCAGCGGGGACGCCCCGCGCAUGCGCAGCGCGGCCGGGCCCGGAGCGGAGCCGGGGGUCCCGCGGCCGCCAUGACCAACGUGUACUCGCUGGACGGGCUGGUGGUGUUCGCGCUGCUGCUGGUGUGCACGUGCGCCCACCUGCGGCACGUGCCCCGCGCCCGCGCCUGGCUCCUGCGCGAGAAGCGCGGCCUGUGGGGAGUCUGCUACAAGGCCGCCGUCAUCGGCACGCGCCUGCACGUGGCGGUGGCCGUGGCCUGUGUGCUCAUGGCCUUCUACGUGCUGGUGGUGAAGUGACCCCCCGGGACCACCCACGCAGCGAUGCAGAGCCCGGGGCCGCCCCCCGGCGCCCCACAGCCGGCCUGGGCCUGCCGGGGGGGCCCUGGGGAGCCGCCACGGCCCAGAGCCCUGCUCAGAGCCCCCUUGGGGGGCACCUCCGCACCCCCGGGGUGCGCAACGGGACCGGGGGCGCCUCCUCCUGAUGCUGAACCCAGUGGCUCGUGGGGGGGACGCUGCAGCCUCCCUCCAUGGGGACUUGUGGGGCUGGGCCCCCCCCGCCGGCGGGAUGUCCCCCCAUGGGGGGUCUGUCCCCUGUGGCCGUGGAUUUGUCACCCCCAGAUUGGGAAUGCUGGAAAUAAAGCGGGGGCCCCCCUGCGGGCAGCA